UACGUAGGCAGCGAGCGUUGUUCGGAGUUACUGGGCGUAAAGAGUGCGUAGGCGGUUUUCUAAGUUUGGUGUGAAAUCUCCCGGCUUAACUGGGAGGGUGCGCCGAAGACUGGAAGGCUUGAGUAUGGGAGAGGUAAGCGGAAUUCCUGGUGUAGCGGUGGAAUGCGCAGAUAUCAGGAGGAACACCGAUGGCGAAGGCAGUUCUCUGGGCCGUAACUGACGCUGAGGAGCGAAAGCGUGGGGAGCGAACAGG
RNAcentral lists this ribosomal RNA (253 nucleotides) under uncultured bacterium. Its description in RNAcentral is "partial 16S ribosomal RNA". It matches the Rfam family "Bacterial small subunit ribosomal RNA", at positions 524 to 776 of the family's 1533-position model. The record is from RNAcentral.